This 435-nucleotide ribosomal RNA is filed under the name uncultured bacterium. RNAcentral's name for it is "partial 16S ribosomal RNA". It matches the Rfam family "Bacterial small subunit ribosomal RNA", at positions 30 to 507 of the family's 1533-position model. The record is from RNAcentral.
AUCGAACGCUGGCGGCAGGCUUAACACAUGCAAGUCGAGCGGGCAUCUUCGGAUGUCAGCGGCAGACGGGUGAGUAACACGUGGGAACGUACCCUUCUGUUCGGAACAACUCUGGGAAACUGGAGCUAAUACCGGAUACGCCCUUAUGGGGAAAGGUUUACUGCCGAAGGAUCGGCCCGCGUCUGAUUAGCUAGUUGGUGGGGUAACGGCAUACCAAGGCGACGAUCAGUAGCUGGUCUGAGAGGAAGAUCAGCCACACUGGGACUGAGACACGGCCCAGAAUCCUAGGGGAGGCAGCAGUGGGGAAUAUUGGACAAUGGGCGCAAGCCUGAUCCAGCCAUGCCGGGUGAGUGAUGAAGGCCGUAGGGUUGUAAAGCUCUUUUGUACGGGACGAUAAUGACGGUACCGGAAGAAUAAGCACCGGCUAACUUCGUG